UACGAAGGGGGCUAGCGUUGCUCGGAAUCACUGGGCGUAAAGCGCACGUAGGCGGCUUUUUAAGUCAGGGGUGAAAUCCUGGAGCUCAACUCCAGAACUGCCUUUGAUACUGAGAAGCUUGAGUCGGGGAGAGGUGAGUGGAACUGCGAGUGUAGAGGUGAAAUUCGUAGAUAUUCGCAAGAACACCAGUGGCGAAGGCGGCUCACUGGCCCGGUACUGACGCUGAGGUGCGAAAGCGUGGGGAGCAAACAGG
RNAcentral lists this ribosomal RNA (253 nucleotides) under uncultured bacterium. Its description in RNAcentral is "partial 16S ribosomal RNA". It matches the Rfam family "Bacterial small subunit ribosomal RNA", at positions 524 to 776 of the family's 1533-position model. The record is from RNAcentral.